Molecule: long non-coding RNA, 281 nt
Filed under: Homo sapiens (human)
Lineage: Eukaryota; Metazoa; Chordata; Mammalia; Primates; Hominidae
Description: HSALNT0343375
Source: RNAcentral
CCGCGGGGGCGGCAGAGACCCGCCCCGGCCCGCAGGACACCCCCUCGGAACGCGCGGCCCCCGGCUAAGUCAUGUUUAACAGCCUCAGAAAUUAUCUUGUCUCCGCGUUCUUUCUUCUGCCGGCGAGCCAGUGUCAUUUGUGGAUUAUUAAAGAAACCUCUCCAUACCUGAUGCAUAAAGAUAGUUAAGGGUAGCUGAAAUACAACAUCAUAAUUUUUACUGGAAAAUAGCCACAAUGAAGGAACACCACAAUUUCACCAUGAAAACCAGCACAACCUUAC